Molecule: long non-coding RNA, 3597 nt
Organism: Aegilops tauschii subsp. strangulata
Lineage: Eukaryota; Viridiplantae; Streptophyta; Magnoliopsida; Poales; Poaceae
Source: RefSeq, a predicted model, not a curated record
UGUACCGAAAGAGAAAAGGAACGGAUUUGCUAUUUUACAGUCGAGUGUUUUUCAAUUCGUCGUCAAUCAAAUCCGUGUCCGUCCAUUCUCGCGCAGAGAUUCGUGUUGAUUUCUUUUUGGCGUUCCAUUUGUUCGGGUUGAUUCGUGUUGGUUUCUCGGGUUUGGUUUUCCUGUCUCAGCCCGUUACCGCCCCCGGCCCGGCACUGUCUCCACUUUCAUUUGGGGGGUUCUGUUUUGAUAAGGCAAGGAGAAGGGAAGGAGCUCGAGCGGCGGAGGAGAGGAAGCGAUUUCUUAUGUUCAUGGCGAUUCCGGGCUAUUCCACCGCCCGAUUUCGAUUUCUCCUCCCUUUUCUCUUCGAUCCCCGCUGCCGCGGUUGGUUGUCCAUGUCUCUCGCGUUUCCCUGUGUUGUGGCUGUGUAGUUCCGGAUCUAGGUAAGUUUUGGAUCCGUGGUUCAUCUGUUAUUGGUGUUGUCCGUGGAUCCGUGGUAGGUGCAUGUUGCUGCCGUGUUUGUUUCUAGUCCGCCAUGCCUAGCGCUCCAUUUCCCAUCCUUCUGCCCGCCUGAGUUGUGUAGGAGCUUGUUGUAUGUGGGGAGUUCUAAUCCAUCUGCUUGUUGUGGUCCUUUUCUCCCCUGCUUGUAGAUGUAGAGGUAGGCGUAGGUUGUUUAUUCUAAUGUAGAUGUAGAGGUAGGCGAAGUUAUAGUUGCAGCGGUGGAUUCGCCCUAUCAAUUUUAUUUCUGCUGGCCUGGGUGUCUGUUCCUUUGUCGUUAGAUGUAGUUGCAGAUGGUCUAGCAUGGGUUUCUGCCUGCUUCUGCAGUUUACUUGUAGUUGCUGUUAGCUGCUGAUGUUUGCUGUUGUAGUCCCUGGAAAAUUCAGUAUGAUUUUUUUUUGUUAGAUGUAGGUGUUCAUUUCACCCGGUACCUGAAUCUCUCUGAAUUUGUGUGUACUAGGCUGCAGUGUUGUUGUAGUGUUAGUCCAGGAAUCUCUCUGAAUUUCAUGCUUCUUUACGGUGUAUUUUUACUCCAGACUUGAAGUGUAACUUACCCCUAGAAUUACAGUGUAUCCCCAUCCAGAAUUACUGUGUAAUUUAAAUCAUAAUUACAGUGUAACUUGCCCCAUAAUUGCAGUGCAUUUACAGUGUAUCCUGAUGCUUCUUUAUUUGUUGUUACUCUGUAAUUUGUCCUAGUAGUACUGUGUAUUUCCCCCCUAAUUACAGUGUAAUCCUGAUGCUUCUUUCUUCAGUGUAAAUUUUGCUAUAAUUACUGUGUAACAUGUCGUAGAAUUACACUGUAGGUUACCCUGCAAUUACAGUGCAAUAUACCGUGAUUACCGUGUGUUUUUUGUGCUUCUUUAUUUGUAAUUACUGUGUAAUUUGUCCUAGAAUUACUGUGUAAUAUUUCCCCCCAUUACAGUGUAAUUCUCAUGUGUCGUAGAAUCACACUGUAGGUUAGCCUGCAAUUACAGUGUAAUAUACCGUAAUUACAUUGUUUUUUUCGUGCUUCUUUAUUUUGUAAUUACUGUGUAAUUUUCCCUAGAGUUAUUGUGUAAUAUUUCCCCCCAUUACAGUGUAAUUCUCAUGCUUCUUUCAGUGUAAAUUGCAGUGUAUAUUUUUCAGUGUAAUACUGCGCCAGUUUCUUUGUUAUUUACAUUGUAAUUUUUCUCAGAUGUUUUGCAUGCAUUCAUGUGGUGUUUUGCACUGUAAUAUCCCCCAUUCUUACUAUAUAAUUUAUCUUCAGUUUUUGGCAGUGUACUUCCUCUACCUUUUCAUUGUAAGUUGCCCUAAUUAUUGUGUAUUUUGACUCAGAGUUUCACUGUAUUUAGGUUGGUUUUUACACUGUAUUUUAAGUGAUUCUUGCACUGUAUUAAUAUGCCCCAUUAUUCUAUAGUUCCCCUGAUUGCUGCCUUUCAGUGUAUUUGUUGUGAGAUUUCCCUUGUAAUUGAGCCCCAUUACUCUAUAAUUUUCAACUUUCUUUAAUUUCUUUUUUUCGUGUGUCAUGUAUUCUGUUUUGUUAGGUUUAGGUCAAUGGGGAGACUACGGAAAGUCUCUCACAAGGAUGUUUCGGUAGUUUCUUCUAUCGUGAGUGCUGAUUCUUGGAAUGAUCCUUUUGUGCCUAAUGACUUUGCGGAAGAUGGUUCUAAUGCUAUGUCUUUGGUAGUUAUUUAUGUCUUGUUCUCUACUUUCAUUUUCGUUUUAUUCUUUCUUUCAGUUUAUUAUUAUUUUUUGUUUGUUGAUUGAAUUAUUUUUCAGGAUCUUUCUAGUGAUGAUAGAGGGUUUGAUAAAGCUAUUUUUCAAGAAUUUCAUUGCAAUCCCCAUGCUUCCUUUUUGUAAUUGCAGUGUAAUAUACCCUAGAAUUGCAGUGUAAUUUAGCCCAGAUUUUAGUGUAAUCCCAAUGCUUCAUUUUUUUAAUUACAGUGUAAUUUUCCUAGAAUUACAAUGUAAACUCCAUGCUUCAUUUAUGUAAUUACAGUGUAAUUUUCCCCAUAAUUACAGUUUAAACUUCAUGCUUUAUUUAUGUAAUUAUAGUGUAAUUAUUCCCCAAAUUGCAGUGUAAUUUUUCCUAGAACUUCAGUGUAAAUUUCAUUUUUUUUUCUAAACAAAGUAGUGUAAUUUUCCUGCUGAACCUCUAUUACUUGAUAUUUGAGCUUCAUUCUUGUUCAGCUUUGCUUGAAUUACAGUGGAUUUUAACUCUGUUUAGUGCGAUUAUCCUGUGUAGUUCCUUGGUUAUUAUCAUUGUAAUCCACUAGUGUGAUUAUUCAUUUCCUUCACUGUCCAUGUGUACGAGCACUGUAACAAGCUCUGCUUUUCAUUGUCAAUAUUAAUGCCUUCAUCUGAUAGGACUUGUGUUCUUUAUGCUGAUAGGUAUGUCUUUGUAUUCAUGACUUCGUCUGAACUUGCAUGUAUCUCUGUAAUCCACUGAGUUCAUGUUAGUUACAUUGCCCUGUAUUGCAGCAAAGAUUUUUUCAUGUGUACUACAGCAAAGUUUUUUUCAUGUAAUUUCCCCAUGGUUCAUGCUACCUACAUUGCCCUAUACUGCAGCAAAGUUUUUUUCAUGUGUACCUUACACUGGAAUUCGUGUUGGUGUAGUGUUUUGACAGUGAAAUAUUAACAGUUUUACCUUCCAACAGUUAGAAUUUUUCCCCUGAUGAUUCCAAAAUUUUCACUAGAUUGUAUGACGUUUUUUUUUCUACAGGCUAGUUCAUGUAGGAGGUGUAUGUAGAGCAGCGGGGUGAGGAAAAACAUGGAAGAGUUCAAUAGAAGUGUGGUCAAAAGGAGUAGGACAUUACGUGAGCUGUGGACCGUCUCUUGGAUGAUCUUCCUCUGUCCUCCACCAAUUAUUCGGAUCUGUUCUUCCCCCUUGCUUCUCUCCAGGUGAUUUGUUGUCCAGGAAAGGAAAAAAGAGCGUGGGUAACGGUCCAGGUGGGUUUCGUGAUAGUUGCCUUGUUUUGUUUUGGUUAUUAGUUAGAACCGGGUCAGAUUUUAGCCGCCCGACCCAUUUUUUUGGAAAUACAAGCAUACAAUUGUCCAUGGUAUUUGGACAUAGGUGUCAGCGCUUGAUUUGUCAGGAAAUUUGACUAUAAUAUAGUGCUUUUUACCUUUGUA